ACUUUGAUAUAUUUAGACGUUCUGUUUUUAUGUCGCUGUUUUACGUGUUACUUUUUUUAUGUUGUAGUACACUUAAAAUUGUCAAGGAGAAUCGCAUUCUCCAAAAAAACCCAUUAAAGUUCCAAAUUCUUAAAGUUUUAAAUUUUAUCGUGUUUAUUUUUGAAAAAAAGCUAGGUAUAUUUGUUUACACUUUUUUUGCAUAAUUAAUGACCCCUGGUGCGUAACUAAUGUAUUUGUCCUAAAAUUGAAAAUGCUACAUAAAGCUGUUAGCUGGGUAACAAACUAAUUUGCUUCUUUGGUUUGUUGAACUCACUGUUAUCAUUUUUACAUUAUUAUUGUUUCUCUUAAAAUGUGUUUUACUAAGCAUAAAUAGCUAGCUAUAGACCCGGCUAAGUCUCCCCAGUUUAAUUAUAUAUAACUGGGUGUCUUAGCUACUAUUAGCUGCUAGGUAAUGUUAGCUUUAACGCUCCAUCCCAUAGCUUAGCUAGCUGUAACCUAUGAGUUAUGUUGUUUUUCCUCUUUUUUAGCUAUAUAUACCUACCUUAAUAGUCAAAACUCUGUUCUCUUUUGAGCACGAAUUAUGAUGAAUAAGCUGGUUACAAAAUUUUUUAAAGACUUCCUAAACCUUUAGGAUGUGACACUUUUUUAUGCCCAUAGAGAAUAAUUUUUCACAUUUCCUGUAAACUUUACAAGGGGAACACAAUAUGACAAGUGGAACGAAUUUUAUAGAAUUUAAACUGUGUGUUAAGUUAUUUUUUAUUGUUUUGUUUCCAACAUCCUGUUGUACUUUUGUCAGCCUACCGUAAUGCUUCGAAUAAACCCCUUGGGCGUUUAUUAAAUUUUUUGACAUUUUUGAGGGGCGUCUAUUCGAUGGGGGCGUUUAAAAGAGGGGGGCGUUUAUUAAAUUUUUUACACUUCAUCUCUUUUGCAGUUUUUAAGGAUACCUACCUAUGAUAUAUAUCUUCACAACAGAAAAUAAAAUAUAUUCACAUGCUCUAAAGAAUGAACUUCAAAAGGGAAAAACUAAAUUUCCAACCUUAAACCUAAGAUUUAGGAAAAAAAUAUUAUUAUUAAAGUAUUAUCGCUUCGAAUAAACGCCCCUUAUGACGGGGUUUACAGGGGUUUUUGACGUUUUAUCGAAAAUUUACGUGGGUUUAUGACUUUGGGUUAAAAAACUUAUGAGGGGAUGGUAUGGUUGUCAAUUUAUAUUGUUCGUGUUGCAAAAUGCUAUUUUUUGAAAUUUUGUGUAAACUUUUGUGGAAAUAGACCACAUGCAAUAUAUAUAAUGAAAGAAAAAAGUUCUGUACAAUCGGACUUCACUGUAAGCUGUUGCCUGAUGUCUUUAUAGUUCGUAUUAUAAACUAUUGUUGGGGAUGUCAUGUGAUGUCAUUUUCGCUGAAAGAAAUUUCCAUGGUUUGACGUUUUUGUUUUUGUUAAGAACUCUACAAAAUUUUGUAGGGAUAAAUGUUUGCUGAUGAUAAAAAAAUUUCUUAAUGUUGUGACUGAACUGUUUUUGUUUUUUAUAUUUUGUAAUCUAAUGGGCGAGGACUGUAUGCACUAAAAUGACUGUUUUUUCUAAAUUUUGAUGUGUUUCAUAAUUUUUUUGUUGAAGAUUAAUGGUAAUGUCAAUUUGGGUAAGUUUCCCAAACCUGGGUUCCUGAAUCCGUUUCGGAAGUAACGGGUUGAUGAACUCAUCAAAAAAACCUUCAAACCCCAACAUCUCUGCAACCGUUUGUCAAAGGUACAUUGAUCCUAUACAUUUUCUUAAUCAGCGUUUCAAGAUGUAUACAAUUAAGGCAUUUCAUAUAUAAAAUUCUGAAAAAAUUUUUUUGUGUUUUUGCGGGACGUCAGAAAAAUUUUCAAACCCUUAAAUCUCCAUAGGCGUUUGUCGAAAACAUUUGUUCCUAUACAUUAUUUUGAUCAGUUUCAACGUCUACACAUUACAGGCAAAGAAUAAACUCAAUUUCGCCCAUUUUUUUUUUUUUGAUCUGCGCUGCUGAAAUGAGCAAAAAAUCUAAAACAACCUAUUAUUUUAUUGCACCUCUAAGUGGAUUUUACCACGGGCUUUAACGACUAGUAUCUUAAUAAACUACUACAUUUGCUAAAAAUGUUCUAUUGGAUCAACUGUAUGUAAUAUCAGUUUUUCCGAUCACGACGCUGUAAAAUUCAAAACUUUACCAAAAUAGUUUUUUUAUACAAUUCUAUUUAUUCUUAUGUACAUGUACAUGUUCAUUAAAAUUAAAUUUCUUUACAUUUAAUUUCAUAAAUAUUUUUUUUAUUAUGUCCAAUUCUCCUGGAAAAUCACGACCUUCAUCUUCGAAGGCAUGGUCCACACACUUAAAAUCAUAGUCUACCCCUACGAAGUCAUGGUCGUCUUCAGCAGGUGAUUGGUCAAUCUUCACCGAAUUGAUCAUUGAGUAGAUCUUCACCUUAUAAAAGGAAACUUUAUGAGUCAAUAUCUAUUGGUGAAUAUGUUCAUUUAUUGGAUGGAGGUUGCCGAAAAGUUAUUUAUUUUGGUGAAACAAGCAGUCAGAAAAUAAAUAUUUUGAAUGCACUGUUUUUGAGCGAAUGUUGAGCAAAGUCUAAAAGAAUUUAGGGACUUAAUGAACAAACUCAAAGAGUAUACAUUAUGUAAAUUGACUGACUUGAAAGUUGUUCAGACUAGAGGGAAAUGUUGUAUACAACAAUGUCAACUAAGUAGUCAAUAUAAAUGAUCAGAAUGUUGAUAACAUUAAACCAAAACAUGUGAAAGAAAAAGAUGCCCACGAAGUUUUGGAAGGGAGUUUUAUUUCCAUCCACAUUCCAUCCCAGGCAGUGGUUUACGCGUAUAACCGGUUUUCUGCAACUGUUGAAGUUAAGUCAGAUGUUACUAAUUCUCUUCAUGUGACCGGAUGGGAAACCACGCCCAAAACUGCAUUUACCUUUAAAAAAUGUUAACAAUAUCAAACAGGAAUUAAAGGCUGAUGCUGCUCUCAUAGUUUUACAGGACACAGUCUUUAACAAUAUUAAAUUAGGCAUGAAACUAAAAUGUCACCAGUCAUCAUAAAGAUAUCCAAUCCUAAUGUUUUACCUACGAAAGUGAAGAAUAAAAGUUUGGUUAGUGAUGAUGUGGUAAUAAAAGAUGAAUCUUAAAUUGUGUUUAGAAACAAAACUAUUUCGGUUUAUAAUCAAGUGGUUUAUUAUUGACUCCUUGUUGUUAGCAUUUUACUCUUUGUUGUGUUUCUUCAGUUGGUUAUUAUUUCCUGAUAUUAAGACAUUUUAAACGUUCAAUUUUUUAUUUUGCAUUCUUGUUGUGUUGUGUGUGUGUGUCUUCCCUAUUUUUACUUCAAAGUGAAGCUCUGUAAACAACAUUUUUAAAAUUAGAACUACUGAUCUAAAAAAAUUAGCUUUGAGUAUGUUUCUAACAAAUAGUAAUUAUCGGUGUAAAUCCUUAAAAAAAGACUGGGAUAAACAAGACAAUAGAUUUGUUGCAUCUCUUAACCCUUGGAGGAAAGAAUACGGAAGGAGAAACAACUCUUUUAAUUCUAUUGAAACACUGCGUGAGGUUCUAGCAGGUGUCUGUAUAGAAACUUAAUUUGAAAUUUUGGCGGUUGUGUGACUAAAUUAUUCGUGAAUAACAAUUCGCAACUAUGAUUGGUUAUAAAAACAAUUAGAUAAUUUGAUGAUGAAUUUGAUAAUAUUAUCAAAACAAGAAGCCAUAUUGAAAUCGGUAAAAUUUCUUUUGUUUUUAUGUUAGCAUAAUUAGCGAAGAAGCAUAUGCUCGACACUUUUGUAAACAAAAAGAAAAAGUUUAUAUCUCGUUUUAAAACGACGUUCUGUUAUAAGAAGUUAUUUCUUUAGUUAGAAUAAACAUUAAUCCAGCACACAUUUUGUCGGCACUCGUCCGGCGCAUAUCUAUCUAUAUUGUUUUUCAUGAUCAAAGUGGUAUACUCAAGCCUACAAAAAUAGGUUAAUAUCAUUGUUAAACGCUUAUUUCCAAACGUAUUGUUGAAGUUUUUAACAGCAAUGUUUACCGACUUAUAUUAGGCACACUUUCCAUACAAUAAUCACGUGCCUGCAGCGUGUUACAGUCAGAUUUCAAUAGAAAAAAGUUAGCCCCUAUUAAAGGAGAAUAUGGAAUUUGAUCAUUUUUUUGCGAAAAAGACUCGGUCGAGCACCUCACGCACUGAUUCUUUUGAAAUUAAAAACAAUAGAAAAUUCAAUACAUUUAAAGCGUACAGAAAUGAAGUUGUUUCUCCUUCCGUAUUCUUUCCUCCAAGCUUAACCCUAACUUUGGAUUUACACUAAACUUUUCAUGAUUACAAAUUGUUAGAAAAACUGUUGUUUUAUUUUCAAAGAAAAAAUAUUGUACAUAUUUAUAUUUAACAGUAUUUUGUUCUGUUAAUUAAUAUGCUUUCUUGACUGGAAAAGGGUAAUAAUAUAGAUUAAAAAUAUCGAUUGAAUUUA
Molecule: long non-coding RNA, 4446 nt
Organism: Hydractinia symbiolongicarpus
Lineage: Eukaryota; Metazoa; Cnidaria; Hydrozoa; Anthoathecata; Hydractiniidae
Exons: 2
Source: RefSeq, a predicted model, not a curated record